This 574-nucleotide long non-coding RNA is filed under the name Homo sapiens (human). RNAcentral's name for it is "HSALNT0215038". Lineage: Eukaryota; Metazoa; Chordata; Mammalia; Primates; Hominidae. The record is from RNAcentral.
CUCCAUUUCCUCAUCUGUGUAAUGAGUGGUACUAAGACUCCUCAUCAGGUGAUAGUGAACUUCAAGUGUGAACAUGUAUAGACAGCCCCAGGCUCUCUGUCCUGCAUGCAGUUGGUGCUCACUGUGCAGAAGUGAUUAUCCAACAGCUGUUAGCACAAUCUCUCCCUCAUCUUUGAAUGUGUGCAUCCCCUGCCUCAGGGCCCAGGAGAUUGACACAGAUGCCCACCUUUUCUGGAGUGAGUGGCUCCACUUUCUCAGUGUUCUGGCUGACAAGGCCUGUUCCAGUUGCCUCAUCUUGCCCUUGCUAGGGAGGACAAAGAAGGCCACGGCAUCUCCCUUGUAAUCCAUCUGCAGCACAAAGCAGUUCAGCUCUGUAUCCACCCCAAAAGCGAACUGCUCUUUCUGGUGCAUCAUGGGGACAUGCACAGUGACCUGCUCGCCCACCAGGAAUGGGAAGUUCUUUCUUGUAUAUUCAGGGUGAAAGGGCUUCUCCCACUUGGCUAGCACAAAGAGAGAAAAGAAGUCUUUAUGUCAAAGUACAAUUAGUGAGGCAAAGACAGCAAACUGAAAUGGG